UGGGGAAUCUUGCGCAAUGGGCGAAAGCCUGACGCAGCGACGCCGCGUGGAGGAUGAAGGUCUUAGGAUUGUAAACUUCUGUUAAGUGGGAAGAAAUAGGCCUUGUGAAUAUCAAGGCAAGAUGACUGUACCAUUAGAGAAAGCACCGGCUAACUUCGUGCCAGCAGCCGCGGUAAUACGAAGGGUGCGAGCGUUAUUCGGAUUGAUUGGGUGUAAAGGGUGCGCAGACGGUAUACUAAGUCAACUGUUAAAUUCCUUGGCUUAACUGAGGGUCAGCAGUAGAUACUGGUGUACUAGAGAGUGGAAGAGAGAAGUGGAAUUCUCGGAGUAGCGGUAAAAUGCGUAGAUCUCGAGAGGAACACCGAUGGCGAAGGCAGCUUCUUGGUCCAUUUCUGACGUUCAUGCACGAAAGCGUGGGGAGCAAACAGG
RNAcentral lists this ribosomal RNA (429 nucleotides) under uncultured bacterium. Its description in RNAcentral is "bacterial SSU rRNA". It matches the Rfam family "Bacterial small subunit ribosomal RNA", at positions 355 to 776 of the family's 1533-position model. The record is from RNAcentral.